RNAcentral lists this ribosomal RNA (468 nucleotides) under uncultured bacterium. Its description in RNAcentral is "partial 16S ribosomal RNA". It matches the Rfam family "Bacterial small subunit ribosomal RNA", at positions 28 to 507 of the family's 1533-position model. The record is from RNAcentral.
GACGAACGCUGGCGGCGUGCUUAACACAUGCAAGUCGAACGGAAAGGCCCUGCUUUUGUGGGGUGCUCGAGUGGCGAACGGGUGAGUAACACGUGAGUAACCUGCCCUUGACUUUGGGAUAACUUCAGGAAACUGGGGCUAAUACCGGAUAGGAGCUCCUGCUGCAUGGUGGGGGUUGGAAAGUUUCGGCGGUUGGGGAUGGACUCGCGGCUUAUCAGCUUGUUGGUGGGGUAGUGGCUUACCAAGGCUUUGACGGGUAGCCGGCCUGAGAGGGUGACCGGCCACAAUGGGACUGAGAGACGGCCCAGACGCCUACGGGAGGCAGAAGUGGGGAAUAUUGCACAAUGGGCGGAAGCCUGAUGCAGCAACGCCGCGUGCGGGAUGACGGCCUUCGGGUUGUAAACCGCUGUCGCCUGUGACGAAGCGUGAGUGACGGUAAUGGGUAAAGAAGCACCGGCUAACUACGUG